Molecule: ribosomal RNA, 490 nt
Filed under: uncultured bacterium
Lineage: Bacteria
Description: partial 16S ribosomal RNA
Rfam family: Bacterial small subunit ribosomal RNA
Source: RNAcentral
AGUGAACGCUGGCGGUAGGCCUAACACAUGCAAGUCGAACGGCAGCACAGGAGAGCUUGCUCUCUAGGUGGCGAGUGGCGGACGGGUGAGGAAUACAUCGGAAUCUGCCCAGUCGUGGGGGAUAACGUAGGGAAACUUACGCUAAUACCGCAUACGACCUUCGGGUGAAAGAGGGGGAUCGCAAGACCUCUCGCGAUUGGAUGAGCCGAUGUCGGAUUAGCUAGUUAGCGGGGUAAUGGCCCACCAAGGCGACGAUCCGUAGCUGGUCUGAGAGGAUGAUCAGCCACACUGGAGCUGAGACACGGUCCAGACUCCUACGGGAGGCAGCAGUGGGGAAUAUUGGACAAUGGGCGCAAGCCUGAUCCAGCCAUACCGCGUGGGUGAAGAAGGCCUUCGGGUUGUAAAGCCCUUUUGUUGGGAAAGAAAUCUUUCAGGCUAAUACCCUGGGAGGAUGACGGUACCCAAAGAAUAAGCACCGGCUAACUUCGUG